This 1337-nucleotide long non-coding RNA is filed under the name Nicotiana benthamiana. Its description in RNAcentral is "long non-coding RNA (NBEN_LNC018235)". Lineage: Eukaryota; Viridiplantae; Streptophyta; Magnoliopsida; Solanales; Solanaceae. The record is from RNAcentral.
CUGCUUCAUUUACUGUUUAAUUAUUGCAGUGGAAAUUACCCAAAAAAUUGAUGUUAUUUUGAUUGCUCCUCUCUAAGAGUGGUGUUCAUGUGAUGUUAGUAUGAGGAAUAUACUAAUUAAGUCACUGAGAGGUUGGUCGUGAAGCAUUUACAGGAGUACACUUGAAGCUGGAAGAAAGUCUUUGAUUUUACUGUGGUUAGUCUCUAUUUAAAGAACGAUCCAUUUAAAAAAUAACUAAUCAUAUAAAGUUGAGUUCUAAAGUAGUCACAUGGCUUCCCCAACUGCUUCUCCCAAGAGAAGCAGAAGAGAAAAAGGUGGGGCCAGGAUGUGAAAUGGCAUUUUAUAUCUCCUUGGUCUUUACCUUCUCAUCAAAACUUGUUUGUAAUUUCGUGUCCAAGUCCAAUCACAAACUCUAACACUUGCUAAUAGGGAUCAAACUCCAAAUACAUGCAAUAUUAAAUUUCUUUCACUUACCUGUACUCUGCAGCUCUGCCCAUGUAAACCAGUCAAUGCAGGAAGAUAUACUUUGAGAAAAGGCAUCACCCGCUCACUUUUUCAGAACUUUAGACAUAGAGCUAUCAGUUAAUAUGUGCUUUCCUCUUCUGAACUAUUUCAAGCUGCCUCUUGACAAGUGUGGAAUCAGAAAACAGUCAAACACAGUCAUGCUGGCUUCUUGACCUCUAAACUUGUUUCCUGGUGAAUCCACAAUGAAUCUUCUCAUAGAUAAAAACCAACCAUCUAGUCUGUGGAAUCAUCUUUGCAAAAGCCUAGUGACAUUCUGAUUAUCAGUUAUCUUAUCACAUCCCUUCAGUGGCUUUCCAGAACCAAUGUUUGUACAGAAGUCAGCAUUAUCCAGCAGUGGUGUCGAAACAAGGGAAAGCUACAGAUUGAAGGCUAAUAUGGAGUGAAUAGUUGGAAUGUCUAUAAUUCGUCUACAGAAGUACUCAACUUUGUUCAAUUAGGAUAACCUUUAGUUUCUUUGCCAGAUUAUGUUCGUCCUUAAUUUAUUAUCCCAAAGAGAGCUUUACAGGAUUAUUGGCUUAACUAUUGUUGUGCAGGUAGUACUCAGGAUACGAGAUACAAAGCCUAGUGACAUUCUGAUUAUCAGUAAUCUUAUCACAUCCCUUCAGUGGCUUUCCAGAACCAAUGUUUGUACAGAAGUCAGCAUUAUCCAGCAGUGGUGUCGAAACAAGGGAAAGCUACAGAUUGAAGGCUAAUAUGGAGUGAAUAGUUGGAAUGUCUAUAAUUCGUCUACAGAAGUACUCAACUUUGUUCAAUUAGGAUAACCUUUAGUUUCUUUGCCAGAUUAUGUUCGUCCUUAAUUUAUUAUCCCAAAG